AUUGAACGCUGGCGGCAUGCUUUACACAUGCAAGUCGAACGGCAGCACGGGGGCGAACCCUCGGUGGCGAGUGGCGAACGGGUGAGUAACACAUCGGAACGUGCCCAGUUGUGGGGAGUAACCUAUCGAAGGUAGGCUAAUACCGCAUGAGGCUCGGCAAGAGGAAAGCGGGGGACUCAGCGAUGGGCCUCGCGCGACUGGAGCGGCCGAUGUCCGAUUAGCUAGNGGUGGGGUAAGGCUUACCAAGGCGACGAUCGGUAGCUGGUCUGAGAGGAUGGAUCAGCCACACUGGGACUGAGGACACGGCCCAGACUCCCACGGGAGGCAGCAGUGGGAAUUUUGGACAAUGGGGCAACCCUGAUCCAGCCAUGCCGCGUGAGUGAAGAAGGCC
RNAcentral lists this ribosomal RNA (391 nucleotides) under uncultured bacterium. RNAcentral's name for it is "bacterial SSU rRNA". It matches the Rfam family "Bacterial small subunit ribosomal RNA", at positions 29 to 416 of the family's 1533-position model. The record is from RNAcentral.